RNAcentral lists this ribosomal RNA (253 nucleotides) under uncultured bacterium. RNAcentral's name for it is "partial 16S ribosomal RNA". It matches the Rfam family "Bacterial small subunit ribosomal RNA", at positions 524 to 776 of the family's 1533-position model. The record is from RNAcentral.
UACGAAGGGGGCUAGCGUUGUACGGAAUUACUGGGCGUAAAGCGUGCGUAGGCGGUUAUUUAAGUCGGGUGUGAAAGCCCCGGGCUCAACCUGGGAAUUGCAUUCGAUACUGGAUAGCUAGAGUUCGGCAGAGGGAAGCGGAAUUUCCGGUGUAGCGGUGAAAUGCGUAGAUAUCGGAAGGAACAUCAGUGGCGAAAGCGGCUUCCUGGACCAGAACUGACGAUCAGGCACGAAAGCGUGGGGAGCAAACAGG